UACAGAGGGGGCAAGCGUUGUUCGGAAUUACUGGGCGUAAAGGGCGCGUAGGCGGCCUGUUAAGUCGGACGUGAAAUCCCUCGGCUCAACCGGGGAACUGCGUCCGAUACUGGCGGGCUUGAAUUCGGGAGAGGGAUGUGGAAUUCCAGGUUUAGCGGUGAAAUGCGUAGAUAUCUGGAGGAACACCGGUGGCGAAGGCGGCAUCCUGGACCGACAUUGACGCUGAGGCGCGAAAGCCAGGGGAGCAAACGGG
RNAcentral lists this ribosomal RNA (253 nucleotides) under uncultured bacterium. RNAcentral's name for it is "partial 16S ribosomal RNA". It matches the Rfam family "Bacterial small subunit ribosomal RNA", at positions 524 to 776 of the family's 1533-position model. The record is from RNAcentral.